UACAGAGGGUGCGAGCGUUGUUUGGAAUUAUUGGGCGUAAAGCGCGUGUAGGCGGCCAACUAAGUCGGGUGUGAAAGCCCUCAGCUCAACUGAGGAAGUGCGCCCGAGACUGGAUGGCUUGAGUGCUGGAGAGGGUGGCGGAAUUCCCCAAGUAGAGGUGAAAUUCGUAGAGAUGGGGAGGAACACCGGAGGCGAAGGCGGCCACCUGGACGGUAACUGACGCUGAGACGCGAAAGCGUGGGGAGCAAACAGG
This 253-nucleotide ribosomal RNA is filed under the name uncultured bacterium. Its description in RNAcentral is "partial 16S ribosomal RNA". It matches the Rfam family "Bacterial small subunit ribosomal RNA", at positions 524 to 776 of the family's 1533-position model. The record is from RNAcentral.